CUGGCUCAGAUUGAACGCUGGCGGCAGGCCUAAUACAUGCAAGUCGAACGGUAACAUAGGAAAAGCUUGCUUUCCUGAUGACGAGUGGCGGACGGGUGAGUAAAGUUUGGGAAGCUACCUGAUAGAGGGGGACAACAGUUGGAAACGACUGCUAAUACCGCAUACAGCCUGAGGGUGAAAGCAGCAAUGCGCUAUCAGAUGCGCCCAAAUGGGAUUAGCUAGUAGGUGAGGUAAAGGCUCACCUAGGCGACGAUCUCUAGCUGGUCUGAGAGGAUGAUCAGCCACAUUGGGACUGAGACACGGCCCAGACUCCUACGGGAGGCAGCAGUAGGGAAUAUUGCACAAUGGAGGAAACUCUGAUGCAGCCAUGCCGCGUGUGUGAAGAAGGCCUUCGGGUUGUAAAGCACUUUCGGAGGGGAGGAGAAUGACGUUACCCUCAGAAGAAGCACCGGCUAACUCCGUGCCAGCCGCCGC
RNAcentral lists this ribosomal RNA (474 nucleotides) under uncultured bacterium. RNAcentral describes it as "bacterial SSU rRNA". It matches the Rfam family "Bacterial small subunit ribosomal RNA", at positions 19 to 518 of the family's 1533-position model. The record is from RNAcentral.